Molecule: long non-coding RNA, 647 nt
Organism: Microplitis mediator
Lineage: Eukaryota; Metazoa; Arthropoda; Insecta; Hymenoptera; Braconidae
Exons: 3
Source: RefSeq, a predicted model, not a curated record
ACUAAUUUGUAUUAAAACGUUAUUUCAAAUAUCUUUUACAUUCGUUCCAAGAAGAUAUUGAUAGUGUUCGGAUUGAAAAUUUGAAUCAAUUCUACAGAGUAAGAUUUUACACUGAAAGCUAAAUGAAGUUAAAUAAUGCUUACUUCAUUAAAAAUUAUUGUAAUUUGGCUGAAUGCCAUCACUGUCAUUGGUACUCAAAUCAAUGCGAAUUCAUCAAAUUCUGAAAAUAAUACCGACUGUUCUGUAGAGCUUCUGGAACUUGGUUUUUGUACCCCGAGGGAAGUUGUAGAUCAAUCGCCAGUGAGGGAUACGUACCGGCGGGUGUGUCAACAAAGGAGGUCAAUCUUCGAUCGCCUAGUAAAUUGUUACAAGCAGUUACACGUAUAUACGACAUCGCUAGAUGUUUUGAGAUUUGCGACAAGUAACACGAGUUUGGUGGCUGGAUGAAUAAAUUCUCUUUUGAAAACAUGAAAUUCUACAGUGAUCAAAGUAAGAGCUGUGAAGUUCGAGAUAUAAACACAAUGAAACGAACUACAAAUAUAAAGGAAUCGAAUAAAUCUGAAUAACUUCACUUUUUAAUUAGAAAAAAAAAAUAUAUGUGAUAUCUCGAAAAUUUUAUCAUAGUAUUUUCAUUUUUUAACCACAAA